UCAAGUCUGCGCCACAAACAGAUAAAGUUGGGUAUAUAAACAAUAAAUAAAAUUAUAUUCGUUCUACCAUCGCGGGAUUUGCUACACGCCGGACUAAAACUUUUGGAAUUAUACACUGAGAUCCUUUAGAGGGAAUACAUGCCAAGACAAAGUGCGUUGUUGCAGUGGCUGUGAAAAUCUAUAAUCAAGAAAAGCAAGUGUGAGCGAGGAUCUGCAAGAAUCAAAAUGGCGAAAUACAUAUUUGUAUUCAUUUUGAUGCUGUUUGUCGCUGCUCAAGCUCUGGCGACAGCGGCGAAAUACCAAAGGUCGGCCAUCAGACAUUCAAAUGGGCAAUCUGAAUCCAUUUUUGAAGAAAGUAGAGUAAGACGCCAAGUUCUUCAAUCAAGGAGAUGCCCUAGCGGUAAAGUGUGGCUGAUCAACAGAUGUGUCACCUGCAAAGAGUACGAAACUAACACUGACGAAGAUUGCCCGUUGAAGAAAUGAAAUUAGCUCGACCCUUUAUUUCGAAACUCAUGAAGAACAAUGUUUUUAUGUAAACGUCAUAUUAUUAUGUUAUUUUUAAUGCGUAUUAAAGUUCAAACUUAAUUUUAA
Molecule: long non-coding RNA, 591 nt
Organism: Ostrinia nubilalis (European corn borer)
Lineage: Eukaryota; Metazoa; Arthropoda; Insecta; Lepidoptera; Crambidae
Exons: 3
Source: RefSeq, a predicted model, not a curated record